GGUUCAGUUACCCAAGUUUGAGGUGAACUCGGCGAUGGGUUGGAAGUAAUGGGAUGAAAACCACAUAUUCUUGAUCCUCUCAUCGAGAGGAGGAAG
Molecule: small nuclear RNA, 96 nt
Filed under: Caenorhabditis brenneri
Lineage: Eukaryota; Metazoa; Nematoda; Chromadorea; Rhabditida; Rhabditidae
Description: snRNA CBN34298
Source: RNAcentral